Molecule: ribosomal RNA, 397 nt
Filed under: uncultured bacterium
Lineage: Bacteria
Description: bacterial SSU rRNA
Rfam family: Bacterial small subunit ribosomal RNA
Source: RNAcentral
AUUGAACGCUGGCGGCAUGCUUUACACAUGCAAGUCGAACGGCAGCACGGGGGCAACCCUGGUGGCGAGUGGCGAACGGGUGAGUAAUGCAUCGGAACGUACCCAGUCGUGGGGGAUAACGCAGCGAAAGUUGUGCUAAUACCGCAUACGACCUGAGGGUGAAAGCGGGGGACCGUAAGGCCUCGCGCGAUUGGAGCGGCCGAUGUCUGAUUAGCUAGUUGGUGGGGUAAAAGGCCCACCAAGGCGACGAUCAGUAGCGGGUCUGAGAGGAUGAUCCGCCACACUGGGACUGAGACACGGCCCCGACUCCUACGGGAGGCAGCAGUGGGGAAUUUUGGACAAUGGGGGCAACCCUGGUCCAGCCAUGCCGCGUGCGGGAAGAAGGCCUCGGUUGUAA